UAGGUGACCUGCGGAAGAUC
This 20-nucleotide ribosomal RNA is filed under the name Pocillopora verrucosa. Its description in RNAcentral is "partial 18S ribosomal RNA". The record is from RNAcentral. Lineage: Eukaryota; Metazoa; Cnidaria; Anthozoa; Scleractinia; Pocilloporidae.